CGCGUGCACCUUAUUAUAAAUUCAGGUUAAUGAUUUAUCGAGAGGCGAUUUCCGUUUUUAUUCAUCGCAUGGUUAUAGAAGGAUUACACAAGCCCGACGAGUAUUGGCCUCGACAGGAAAGCUAAAAUGCGCCAGCGACGUAUUUAUUUGCAGACAAGGAAAUCCCUGCACUGUCAUAAAACGAUUCUCUUCGAUGCAGUGAAGAUAAAUGACACUAUGCAGGUUGAAAGAAGGGGCCUAAAGUUGAUAAGACGCGGACAGCAUCUGCAGCCAUUUUGCUGCCUUUGUCACGAAACAACCUGGUCACGCAAGCUCGGCGGUUGAUUAUAUGUUUUGCGCGCGCAAAGGGAGCUUUCAAUCCUCCUUGCAUUAUAGGUAUAAUAUAGGCAAAGAUAUAUGAAUAAUAAUGACUUUCUUGUAAAAAAAGGUUUAUUUUUAAAAUAAAACAUUACACACUCG
Molecule: long non-coding RNA, 459 nt
Organism: Nematostella vectensis (starlet sea anemone)
Lineage: Eukaryota; Metazoa; Cnidaria; Anthozoa; Actiniaria; Edwardsiidae
Exons: 2
Source: RefSeq, a predicted model, not a curated record